GUAGGUGGCAAGCGUUGUCCGGAAUUAUUGGGCGUAAAGCGCGCGCAGGCGGUCCUUUAAGUCUGAUGUGAAAGCCCACGGCUCAACCGUGGAGGGUCACUGGAAACUGGGGGACUUGAGUACAGAAGAGGAAAGCGGAAUUCCAAGUGUAGCGGUGAAAUGCGUAGAGAUUUGGAGGAACACCAGUGGCGAAGGCGGCUUUCUGGUCUGUAACUGACGCUGAGGCGCGAAAGCGUGGGGAGCAAACAGGGAUUAGAUACCCAGGUAGUCCACGCCGUAAACGAUGAGUGCUAAGUGUUAGGGGGGUUUCCCGCCCCUUAGUGCUGCAGCUAACGCAUUAAGCACUCCGCCUGGGGAGUACGGCCGCAAGGCUG
Molecule: ribosomal RNA, 374 nt
Filed under: uncultured organism
Description: partial 16S ribosomal RNA
Rfam family: Bacterial small subunit ribosomal RNA
Source: RNAcentral